This 228-nucleotide unclassified non-coding RNA is filed under the name Hevea brasiliensis (rubber tree). Lineage: Eukaryota; Viridiplantae; Streptophyta; Magnoliopsida; Malpighiales; Euphorbiaceae. The record is from RNAcentral.
UAGCCUACUGUUAUAAAAGCACACCACAAGAUAACAAAUAGCUAGCUAGAAUAUAAUACAAGAAACGAGGAUUGGUAAAAUGAUUUCCAAGUUGGCAUUAAGAUGAAGAAAGCCUCAAACCAAGAUCUUCAGAAUCAUUUUUCAGAUUGAUUAUAUGAGGCAGAGGUUGAUGAUCACACUUUCCGCAGAAUAAAAACUUGACAGUAAACAUAUAAAUCUACAUCAGUG